RNAcentral lists this unclassified non-coding RNA (253 nucleotides) under uncultured Rhodobacterales bacterium. RNAcentral describes it as "contains 16S-23S intergenic spacer region". It matches the Rfam family "Bacterial small subunit ribosomal RNA", at positions 524 to 776 of the family's 1533-position model. The record is from RNAcentral. Lineage: Bacteria; Pseudomonadati; Pseudomonadota; Alphaproteobacteria; Rhodobacterales.
UACGGAGGGGACUAGCGUUGUUCGGAAUUACUGGGCGUAAAGCGAGCGUAGGCGGCUUAGUCAGUAAGAGGUGAAAUCCCGGGGCUCAACCCCGGAACUGCCUUUGAUACUGCUAGUCUUGAGUUCGAGAUAGGUGAGUGGAAUUCCGAGUGUAGAGGUGAAAUUCGUAGAUAUUCGGAGGAAAACCAGUGGCGAAGGCGGCUCACUGGCUCGAUACUGACGCUGAGGUGCGAAAGCGUGGGGAGCAAACAGG